RNAcentral lists this ribosomal RNA (539 nucleotides) under uncultured Cytophagaceae bacterium. Its description in RNAcentral is "bacterial SSU rRNA". It matches the Rfam family "Bacterial small subunit ribosomal RNA", at positions 96 to 633 of the family's 1533-position model. The record is from RNAcentral. Lineage: Bacteria; Pseudomonadati; Bacteroidota; Cytophagia; Cytophagales; Cytophagaceae.
UGGCGCACGGGUGCGUAACGCGUAACCAACCUACCCUUGACUGGGGGAUAGCCCGCCGAAAGGCGGAUUAAUACCGCAUAAAACCACAGUGUGGCGUCACAUAAUGGUUAAAGAUUUAUUGGUCAAGGAUGGGGUUGCGUGCCAUUAGCUAGUUGGGGGGGUAACGGCCCACCAAGGCGACGAUGGCUAGGGGAGCUGAGAGGCUGGUCCCCCACACGGGCACUGAGAUACGGGCCCGACUCCUACGGGAGGCAGCAGUAGGGAAUAUUGGGCAAUGGCCGAGAGGCUGACCCAGCCAUGCCGCGUGCAGGACGAAGGCUUUCUGAGUCGUAAACUGCUUUUGCCAGGGAAGAAUAAGGGGGAUGCGUCCUCCGACGACGGUACCUGGUGAAUAAGCACCGGCUAACUCCGUGCCAGCAGCCGCGGUAAUACGUAGGGUGCGAGCGUUAAUCGGAAUUACUGGGCGUAAAGCGUGCGCAGGCGGUGAUGUAAGACAGUUGUGAAAUCCCCGGGCUCAACCUGGGAAUUGCAUCUGUGAC